GUAUUAUCCAGCUCGUAUUUUAUUCUAGGAUGCUCAAAAUUAGCAAACUCUGUGUACCAGCGAGGUGAUGUUAAGCUACGAGACAGAAUAAGCUGUAAGACCUCUAUUGUUUAUUGCUUAAACUAUCAUUUUAAAAAUUGGUGCUAGUUCUUUCAUGUACCUCUAUGUUCAAAUGUCUAAUUUGCAUUGGAGGAUUGCCUUUGGGGUACCUCACAAUCACCUGCUGUAAACGUAC
Pelobates cultripes (western spadefoot toad) is the source of this 235-nucleotide non-coding RNA. Lineage: Eukaryota; Metazoa; Chordata; Amphibia; Anura; Pelobatidae. The record is from the annotation of a GenBank genome assembly.